This 292-nucleotide small RNA is filed under the name Oryza sativa Japonica Group (Japanese rice). RNAcentral describes it as "sRNA Os06g0642950". The record is from RNAcentral. Lineage: Eukaryota; Viridiplantae; Streptophyta; Magnoliopsida; Poales; Poaceae.
AACAACACAUGACAUCUUCAGAGAUUAUUAUUCUGGACAGACCGUCUUGCGGCAAAAGUUAGAAGACGUCAGGAUUGAAGUGCCCGGGGAUGGAGUUGUUCUGCUGAGCCUGCUUCAGAUGCAUCAUAGGAUUGUGGUUGCCACCUCUAGGGUCCUCAGUUGCUCCUGGUACUGCACAACAAGUUGCUUCAAACUCUGAACCUCCUGGCUCCUCUCGUCGAACUCCUUUUGGCGCUCAUGUUGAAUGGCGACCGCUCGCUUGAGGACAGCGUUCUCUCGCAGCACGACGGUC